GUGGGACGACGUAUCGGAUUACUGGGCGUAAAGCGCAUGCAGGUGGUUUGUUAAGUCAGAUGUGAAAGCCCGGGGCUCAACCUCGGAAUUGCAUUUGAAACUGGCAGACUAGAGUACUGUAGAGGGGGGUAGAAUUUCAGGUGUAGCGGUGAAAUGCGUAGAGAUCUGAAGGAAUACCGGUGGCGAAGGCGGCCCCCUGGACAGAUACUGACACUCAGAUGCGAAAGCGUGGGGAGCAAACAGGAUUAGAUACCCUGGUAGUCCACGCCGUAAACGAUGUCUACUUGGAGGUUGUGGCCUUGAGCCGUGGCUUUCGGAGCUAACGCGUUAAGUAGACCGCCUGGGGAGUACGGUCGCAAGAUUAAAACUCAAAUGAAUUGACGGGGGCCCGCACAAGCGGUGGAGCAUGUGGUUUAAUUCGAUGCAACGCGAAGAACCUUACCUACUCUUGACAUCCAGAGAACUUUCCAGAGAUGGAUUGGUGCCUUCGGGAACUCUGAGACAGGUGCUGCAUGGCUGUCGUCAGCUCGUGUUGUGAAAUGUUGGGUUAAGUCCCGCAACGAGCGCAACCCUUAUCCUUGUUUGCCAGCGAGUAAUGUCGGGAACUCCAGGGAGACUGCCGGUGAUAAACCGGAGGAAGGUGGGGACGACGUCAAGUCAUCAUGGCCCUUACGAGUAGGGCUACACACGUGCUACAAUGGCGCAUACAGAGGGCAGCCAACUUGCGAGAGUGAGCGAAUCCCAAAAAGUGCGUCGUAGUCCGGAUCGGAGUCUGCAACUCGACUCCGUGAAGUCGGAAUCGCUAGUAAUCGUGGAUCAGAAUGCCACGGUGAAUACGUUCCCGGGCCUUGUACACACCGCCCGUCACACCAUGGGAGUGGGCUGCAAAAGAAGUAGGUAGUUUAACCUUCGGGAGGACGCUACCACUUUGUCUGGCCU
RNAcentral lists this ribosomal RNA (939 nucleotides) under Vibrio sp. RNAcentral's name for it is "bacterial SSU rRNA". It matches the Rfam family "Bacterial small subunit ribosomal RNA", at positions 533 to 1470 of the family's 1533-position model. The record is from RNAcentral. Lineage: Bacteria; Pseudomonadati; Pseudomonadota; Gammaproteobacteria; Vibrionales; Vibrionaceae.